AGGACUCUGCUUGUUAAGCUUGUUUGUUCUUUGACCCUGCGAUGGGAGGAACUCAGGUGUAGGAGUCAGGAAAUCCGAAUAAAGAUAAUUGCUUGCUGCUUCCUAUUGGUGGGCCUUUAAAAAGGGCUGUUUCUGUAAAGUAAAGCCGACUUCUCUUGGUCUCCGCUCAGGCUUGAGUGUUCUUUCCUUUCUCAGUCCUCACACCCCAACUCGGGCUGUUUCAUGUUGUCAUGGCUGGACCGCCACAGGAGGUCAGAGCAGCCAGGAAGUGUCAUCCGCAGCAGAAAAUGGGCUGCCUUAAGUGAGCACCUCCUUCACCCUGGACACUAUGUCCAGGCCCCAAAGGAGACCGCAGUCUGGGCUGAGCUGUCGGAAGAGAAAACCUGUAUGCUGUGCUUGGAGCCGGGGGCCAGUGGCCUCUCUGCACAGGGCUUCGCCCGCUGGCCUGCGCUUCGGCUGAGCUUCUCCCCUCCUCCAGCGCCUCGGUGUCCUCUCCUCAUCCCACCCUGCCACACCGCGGCGGAGGAGCCCGGAACCUGCGCCUCUCCUGCCCAGGGCCCCGGACACUGAGCUCCCGUCUAGGUGGCUCUGGGUUCUGUGGCCUCCAGCCCUGGACCUUGUGGUGACGCAGACCCGGUGCUCACCGCCGCCUCCGUGGCUGCCAGGGCAGAGACGCGGGGAGGACCGGAGACUCCGAGUGUCCGCGAGGGGGCGGCCAGAAAGCCUGACUAAAAUUGGACCUUUCCCCCAUUGAAACAGAGCAGGGCUACUGUCGCAGUAAGAAACUUUGUCCGUAACUUGCAGAAACUAUUUUUAAAAUAACCCAAACAUGUGUUGCCACAGUGAAAACCACAGAAAUGAAACACACACACACACACACGCACACACGCACACUGCUUCCCUUGCACCGGUGUGGGUGCGUGCAGGACACAGUGGUGACAGGUGGUGACCUGUGUGUGCACUCUGACCCUAGUGCCCAUAGGUGGAGAGAGAAGAGUCAGAGUGCUGUCUGCCGCUGAGGACAGUGCGGGUGACUGUCUGCACCCCAACCUGCCCGUGGCCUCCCCGUCCCUGCCCAGCAGGCCCCACCUGGGAGUCUGGCGAUAAAGCUCAGCUUGCUCACCUGCCCCAGUGAGGCCCUUCGGCCCUUUCUUAUCUUCUUCUUGUCAUUCUAUCAACUAGUUUUCUGUUUACAAAACUUGACCGCAAGUGUACACAUGCUGCUCAGACGCAGGACUCUCUGCUGGCGGCUGUCCCACGCCCGCUCACAUCUGUGCCUAGCGUGUCCUCACAGGCCUGCCUGUGCCCAGUACAGCCAAUGCCAGGUGCAGCACAGCUGUCACAGGCGAGAAAAGGACACAUCCUCUGCUCCCGGUAUUCAGGCUCACUGGGACGUCUUCUGUCUUCCUGUAAAGGGCAUGUGGGCCACGAGGCCAAGUCGCAAUCUUAGGUAAGUUACCCUCCCGGUAAGCAGUGUGGCCUGACACUGGGAAAGCCCUGGACACCUCACAAAAAGAGUGGACAGCUCAGGGCCACUCAGCCAGUAGAGGCUCAUCAAGAAGGGGUCCCCAGGCUGGGUACCCACUUCCCCGGGACACAGGGCUCUGGCAAUGCCCGCAGCCCCGGAGUGGAGGAACAUUUGUCCUUCAAGCUUCCUGGCCGCCCUCUGCUGGUAGCAUGUGGUCUGUGCAUCGACUUGGUCCUGCAAGAGUCAGCAGCAAUCCAGGCUCCCGAGACCCCGACACCACGUGGGGCCUGGCAGAGGGCUCACUGGGCCCCUGAGGUCACUGACAAGUCCCCUGCAGGCUUCUCUCAAAUGGGAAUUGGGCUCCCAAAUUCUGCUGACCUCAGGCCAGCCCUUUCUGCUAAGAGCAGGCCACACCCAGGGCCAUGAGAUACAGCCAGAGAUCCUGGCUUUGAGCUGUCGGACACCUCUUCAUCCCCGGUGUAUGGCCUUGGGGCGGCAUCCAGUUCCUAUCUCGGGGCCUGAGGUCCUGUCCUCCCCAUCAGAACCUCUGGGGCACAGGUGGGUCCACACAGCCCAUCAACAGGUUGAGGGGCGUGGAAGGCGAGGCCUGAGUGUCCCGAGUGGCUCCGACUACACUCCUGGCUGGAAGGACAACAUCUGAAGAAGUGGAGGUGCGGGCGGAGGCCCUGGGAGAGGCCAGGAAGAGCAGAGUGCCAGUCAUCCUGUCACUGGGACUAGGAGGUGAAGCAGGCGCCUGGCAGGUACGUGGCACUCACUGGGUGACAGAAUUCCUGCAGUGCCCCGGACAACAGGAUCUGAGUAGGAGAGUGACACUUCUGCAUCCGGAGGGCAUUUGCUGCUGUCUUCGCAGGUAAAUUACUGGUGACAAUGAGGUCUGGUGUGAGAUACUGAGACCAGGGGACACAGAAGGUGCAGAGCAAGCCGCGGGAGGUGACAGGCCAGGAAGUCCCUCUGCGAGUGUCCUGUGGGUGGGUGCCAGUACGGCACACUGCAUGGCACUGGGGCACUGCCAUUCCCUGCCAGGCACCGAGAAGUGACAGCUAGCCGUCCACAGACAGCUUGUAGUCUAAGGCUGUGCAGGAGGCCGCCAGUGCGGUCUUGCUGAGGGCUCAGGGGAGCCCUCCAGGGAGAUGACAUUUGCAUCACAAUCCUAGUUUUGGGUCUUCAGUGAGCCCGGGUUCACUGAGGUGCACCAUUCCCAGAGUGCACUAGGGAAAGAUGGGGGGGGCUGAUGCUGCAGGUGUGACCUGUGGGUACUGUUUGACCUGGGACUGUCCUGAGAAGACAGACUGCAAGCGCAGGGUUGGGGCAGAAAGUCCAUCUCCCUGUUGUUGUCUCCCACUGGUGAAAGGUCUGUUCAAGACCCUCCCUAACUGUAAGGUUGCACAGCCUCAGCCUAAAAAGUGUCUCAGCCUCCUGGUCAAUGGAGUUCCACAGCGCGACUCAGCACAGGUAGGAGCCAAUCUGGGGGCUGUCUGGAUGCUGGCUGGACUCAGGGUUGGUGGCUGUUGGCUGAAGGAGCCCCAAGAAUUGGAGAAGUGCACAGGUUUUAUUUGUUGACCUGGGGAGAGCAUCCAGGCAAGGGCCAGAGGGUGCAAAGGCACCGUGGCUUUUCUGCCCUUCCAUCUUGUAACUCCUCGAAGUGACACACAUGGGACAUAGCCCUGUCCCAAGUAAAGGGCUCUGCAUUCUGCCAAUGGGCGCCCAAGAAGCCAGGCAGGAGAGAGGCCCAAAGGGAGCACAUAGUAGGUGACUCCAGAAUGUUUCCCCUGUGGCUGGGCUUCUGCACUCAGGCUGUCCCACCUGGCCUGGCCCACUGAACAUGCUGGGCAGUGGCUGAGCGCCGAGCGUGGAGUUGGGGCUGGGGAGACGAGGAGAGCCAGGGCUCUGCCUGCAGAUGCUAACACGAAAGGAGCAAGCAGAAAUGAUCUGAAGUGUAGGCGUUCUGGGUUCAAUCUCUCUUCCCCCUUUGGACCCAGGUUAAGCCUCCGUUUCCUCAUCUGUACAACAGAGACCAGAGGGCCUAUUCAUGGAAGGGACCUGGGAAAAACAGUGAGGAUUCACAAGCCGAGACCAUGCAGUCCAGGGCGGGGGCUCCCAAGACCCCUAGGUCGCAAGGAUCACACUGCAGCCAGCACUGGUCUCCAAAGCCUUUAUUAGGGAGCCUGGGCCAGGGUCUCACAGCUCCAGGAACCGUGGGAAGGGUACAGAGGAAGAGGGGUCCUCUCCUCCAGGAAAAGGCACUGAUGGGAGGCACCCGGAGUGGCCAGGU
This is a long non-coding RNA of Fukomys damarensis (Damara mole-rat), 3761 nucleotides long. RefSeq lists it as uncharacterized. NCBI's taxonomy places the organism in Eukaryota, Metazoa, Chordata, Mammalia, Rodentia, Bathyergidae. The transcript is spliced from 3 exons. The record is from RefSeq and is a predicted model, not a curated record.